CAGGGAGACAACAAAAUGUUUAAUAUUAAUUUUGUCACCUUAGGUCGAUCGGUAUCUCGCAUUCUUAAUUUAUUUAAGGAUAUUAUUUCCUAAGUUUUUUCUAGGUCACACCCAUUAUUUUCCUGGGCCAUUAGCUCAGGUGGUUAGAGCGCACCCCUGAUAAGGGUGAGGUCCCUGGUUCAAGUCCAGGAUGGCCCAUAUCUCUAUCUUUAUGUUGGGGGUAUAGCUCAGUUGGUAGAGCGCCUGCUUUGCAAGCAGGAUGUCAGCGGUUCGAGUCCGCUUACCUCCACUGAUCACCUCUUCCAUGAUUUGUAGAAGGGAAAUUUUUGAGUUGUGAUCAAAUUCUGAACGAAUCUAGCUUCCUAAUAACUUUAUUAAGAUGCUGGACUCAUUGAAUUAAUUUCAUUGUUUUCAGAGAACCUUGACAACUGCAUAGAUUAUUUUAAAGACAAUAAGCAUCUUUAAUGAUGCAGAUUUAUUAUUUGUGCGAAUGCAUUAAUAACAAUUCUAUUAAGCUGAUGCUUCAAUUUUUGAAGUUAUU
RNAcentral lists this transfer RNA (541 nucleotides) under uncultured cyanobacterium. RNAcentral describes it as "partial miscellaneous RNA". The stretch from base 217 to 289 matches the Rfam family "tRNA". The record is from RNAcentral. Lineage: Bacteria; Bacillati; Cyanobacteriota.